CAGUCGCCGCGGGAAUACAGAGGGUGCGAGCGUUAAUCGGAUUUACUGGGCGUAAAGCGUGCGUAGGCGGCUUCUUAAGUCGGAUGUGAAAUCCCUGAGCUUAACUUAGGAAUUGCAUUCGAUACUGGGAAGCUAGAGUAUGGGAGAGGAUGGUAGAAUUCCAGGUGUAGCGGUGAAAUGCGUAGAGAUCUGGAGGAAUACCGAUGGCGAAGGCAGCCAUCUGGCCUAAUACUGACGCUGAGGUACGAAAGCAUGGGGAGCAAACAGGAUUAGAGACCCCAGUAGUCCCUGUCUCUUAUAA
RNAcentral lists this ribosomal RNA (301 nucleotides) under uncultured bacterium. RNAcentral describes it as "partial 16S ribosomal RNA". It matches the Rfam family "Bacterial small subunit ribosomal RNA", at positions 509 to 809 of the family's 1533-position model. The record is from RNAcentral.